AGCUCCAAUAGCGUAUAUUAAAGUUGCUGCGGUUAAAAAGCUCGUAGUUGGAUCUCAGUCUUUGUUUUAAGGUCUGCCUUGAGGUAGUACUUUAUAAACUAGACAUCUUGCCGGCUCUCUCGGCUUGCACUUUAUUGUGUGUGUCGAGGGACUGGCGCGUUCACUUUGAAAAAAUUAGAGUGCUCAAAGCAGGCUUUUCAGGCUUGAAUAUUCGUGCAUGGAAUAAUGGAAUAGGAACUCGUUCCUAUUUUGUUGGUUUUCGGGAAUCGAGUUAAUGAUUAAUAGGGACAAUUGGGGGCAUUAGUAUUCAGACGACAGAGGUGAAAUUCUUGGACCGUCUGAAGACUAACUACUGCGAAAGCAUUUGCCAAGAGUGUUUUCAUUAAUCAAGAACGAAAGU
Molecule: ribosomal RNA, 400 nt
Filed under: phytoplankton environmental sample
Lineage: Eukaryota
Description: partial small subunit ribosomal RNA
Rfam family: Eukaryotic small subunit ribosomal RNA
Source: RNAcentral